GUCUAUGGCCAUAUCACCCUUAGCUCACCUGAUCUCCCCUGAUCUCAGAAGCUAAUCAGGGUUGAGCCUGGUUAGUACUUGGAUGGGAGAAAAUCAAUAAGGAAACAUUGGACU
This is a ribosomal RNA of Microcebus murinus (gray mouse lemur), 114 nucleotides long. The record is from Ensembl. Lineage: Eukaryota; Metazoa; Chordata; Mammalia; Primates; Cheirogaleidae.